AAACCAGCACCUCAAGUGGUCAGUAGGAUUAUUGGGCCUAAAGCAUCCGUAGCCUGUUCUAUAAGUUUCCGGUUAAAUCCACUAGCUCAACUAGUGGGCUGCCGAAAAUACUGUAGAACUAGGGAGUGGGAGAGGUAGACGGUAUUCGGUAGGAAGGGGUAAAAUCCUUUGAUCUAUUGAGGACCACCUGUGGCGAAGGCGGUCUACCAGAACACGUUCGACGGUGAGGGAUGAAAGCUGGGGGAGCAAACCGGAUUAGAAACCCCGGUAGUCC
RNAcentral lists this ribosomal RNA (274 nucleotides) under uncultured bacterium. RNAcentral describes it as "partial 16S ribosomal RNA". It matches the Rfam family "Archaeal small subunit ribosomal RNA", at positions 473 to 747 of the family's 1478-position model. The record is from RNAcentral.